Pezoporus flaviventris is the source of this 767-nucleotide long non-coding RNA. RefSeq lists it as uncharacterized. The transcript is spliced from 3 exons. NCBI's taxonomy places the organism in Eukaryota, Metazoa, Chordata, Aves, Psittaciformes, Psittacidae. The record is from RefSeq and is a predicted model, not a curated record.
CACUUUCUUCCUCUUUCCUGCUUUGCCCAGAUAUUCUUUUGACUUUUUCUACAAUUCAGUGUCUUCUAAAUUGCUUCUUUUUCAGGUUUCCUUUCUAAAACCUUUUUUUUCUUAACAGUUCUGCAAGCUGCUUUUCCAUUCCCCCUCCCCCUGCCUGUACCCCUCAAAUACACUGCCAUCUUCUCAACAGUGUAACUGAUCUCCUGUUCAACAGAUCAGAUUUAAUCUUCACAAAUUCACUUUCAGACCCGGGCCAAUUCAUUUACUUUCUGUCUGGCCCCGGUUUUUAAUGUUCUGCUGGCUCCAUGUUGUUAGCUGCAGUUCUCCAGGAGCCUUGCUGUUGUUUGCCUUUGCUUUAGCACACUUAUGGUACUCUUUGCUGAUCCUACUGCCCACCUCCAUUUCUUUAAAACCCAAUUUUUCCUCAGCAACUCCAAGAUGCUGACCCAGUGUGGCCCCAUUGCCCACAUCUGCAGAUAGGAGCUCUGUGACACUCUCAGAGACAACACCCCGUGUAAAUACAUCAAAGACAAGAUGCUGCCUAGAAUCAGUAGCAUUACAGUCAUGAGUGAUCCAUUGCAACUCUACUGCCAGCUUCUUUCAGGAAGGAUACGUCUGUGGUGCCCAGCAAUACAAAUGGAAAACAAAAUAAAUGUGGAUACUCACGUUUAUGGUAUGUUUCUAACGCAUUUCAUCUACCUUCCUGCUAGAGAAUGGUGUCAGCACUUUGUGAAGACGAGUUUGAUCAAACAAGUGAGGGGUUUGUA